RNAcentral lists this ribosomal RNA (2903 nucleotides) under Pasteurella multocida. Its description in RNAcentral is "23S ribosomal RNA". It matches the Rfam family "Bacterial large subunit ribosomal RNA". The record is from RNAcentral. Lineage: Bacteria; Pseudomonadati; Pseudomonadota; Gammaproteobacteria; Pasteurellales; Pasteurellaceae.
GGUUAAGUGACUAAGCGUACAGGGCGGAUGCCUUGGCAAUCAGAGGCGAAGAAGGACGUGCUAAUCUGCGAAAAGCUUGGAUGAGUCGAUAAGAGGCGUUUAAUCCAAGAUGUCCGAAUGGGGAAACCCGAUGGAUGAAGAAUCCAUCAUUUCAUUGUGAAUACAUAGCAAUGAAAGGCGAACCGGGAGAACUGAAACAUCUAAGUACCCCGAGGAAAAGAAAUCAACCGAGAUUCUGUGAGUAGCGGCGAGCGAAAGCGGAAGAGCCAGUAAGUUUUAGCUAGUGUAUUAGAGGAAUUGGCUGGGAAGCCAAAUCAAAGAGGGUGAUAAUCCCGUACUCGAAAAUACGAUAGUGGAACUAAGCUUACGAUAAGUAGGGCGGGACACGAGAAAUCCUGUUUGAAGAUGGGGGGACCAUCCUCCAAGGCUAAAUACUCCUGAUUGACCGAUAGUGAACCAGUACUGUGAAGGAAAGGCGAAAAGAACCCCGGUGAGGGGAGUGAAAUAGAACCUGAAACCCUGUACGUACAAGCAGUAGGAGCGAGGGCAACCUUGUGACUGCGUACCUUUUGUAUAAUGGGUCAGCGACUUAUAUUUUGUAGCGAGGUUAACUGAAUAAGGGAGCCGAAGGGAAACCGAGUCUUAACUGGGCGUUGAGUUGCAAGGUAUAGACCCGAAACCCGGUGAUCUAGCCAUGGGCAGGUUGAAGGUUGGGUAACACUAACUGGAGGACCGAACCGACUAAUGUUGAAAAAUUAGCGGAUGACUUGUGGCUGGGGGUGAAAGGCCAAUCAAACCGGGAGAUAGCUGGUUCUCCCCGAAAUCUAUUUAGGUAGAGCCUUGAGCGGACACCUUCGGGGGUAGAGCACUGUUUCGGCUAGGGGUCCAUCCCGGAUUACCAACCCGAUGCAAACUGCGAAUACCGAAGAGUGAUACUCAGGAGACACACGGCGGGUGCUAACGUUCGUCGUGGAGAGGGAAACAACCCAGACCGCCAGCUAAGGUCCCAAAGUCUAUAUUAAGUGGGAAACGAAGUGGGAAGGCUUAGACAGCUAGGAUGUUGGCUUAGAAGCAGCCAUCAUUUAAAGAAAGCGUAAUAGCUCACUAGUCGAGUCGGCCUGCGCGGAAGAUGUAACGGGGCUCAAAUAUAGCACCGAAGCUGCGGCAUCAGAAUUUAUUCUGUUGGGUAGGGGAGCGUUGUGUAAGCGGAAGAAGGUGGCUCGAGAGGGUUGCUGGACGUAUCACAAGUGCGAAUGCUGACAUAAGUAACGAUAAAACGAGUGAAAAACUCGUUCGCCGGAAGACCAAGGGUUCCUGUCCAACGUUAAUCGGGGCAGGGUGAGUCGGCCCCUAAGGCGAGGCUGAAAAGCGUAGUCGAUGGGAAACGGGUUAAUAUUCCCGUACUUGGUAAAGCUGCGAUGUGGGGACGGAGAAGGUUAGGUAAGCGGACUGUUGGAAAUGUCCGUUUAAGUUGGUAGUUGGGAGCGGUAGGCAAAUCCGCUGCUCCAUUCAACAACGAGAGAUGAUGACGAGUUCCUAAGGGAAUGAAGUUACCGAUACCCGGCUUCCAGGAAAAGCCACUAAGCGAAAGGCUUUAUUAAACCGUACUGAAAACCGACACAGGUGGUCAGGUAGAGAAUACUCAGGCGCUUGAGAGAACUCGGGUGAAGGAACUAGGCAAAAUAGCACCGUAACUUCGGGAGAAGGUGCGCUUACAGUAAUUGUAGUCCCUCGCGGAUGAAGGUGAAGUAAGUCGAAGAUACCAGCUGGCUGCAACUGUUUAUUAAAAACACAGCACUCUGCAAACACGAAAGUGGACGUAUAGGGUGUGAUGCCUGCCCGGUGCUGGAAGGUUAAUUGAUGGUGUUAUCGAAAGAGAAGCUCCUGAUCGAAGCCCCAGUAAACGGCGGCCGUAACUAUAACGGUCCUAAGGUAGCGAAAUUCCUUGUCGGGUAAGUUCCGACCUGCACGAAUGGCAUAAUGAUGGCCAGGCUGUCUCCACCCGAGACUCAGUGAAAUUGAAAUCGCCGUGAAGAUGCGGUGUACCCGCGGCUAGACGGAAAGACCCCGUGAACCUUUACUAUAGCUUGACACUGAACAUUGAAUUUUGAUGUGUAGGAUAGGUGGGAGCCUUUGAAGCAGUGACGCCAGUCAUUGUGGAGGCGACCUUGAAAUACCACCCUUUAACGUUUGAUGUUCUAACGAAGUGCCUGAAACGGGUACUCGGACAGUGUCUGGUGGGUAGUUUGACUGGGGCGGUCUCCUCCCAAAGCGUAACGGAGGAGCACGAAGGUUUGCUAAUGACGGUCGGACAUCGUCAGGUUAGUGCAAUGGUAUAAGCAAGCUUAACUGCGAGACGGACAAGUCGAGCAGGUGCGAAAGCAGGUCAUAGUGAUCCGGUGGUUCUGAAUGGAAGGGCCAUCGCUCAACGGAUAAAAGGUACUCCGGGGAUAACAGGCUGAUACCGCCCAAGAGUUCAUAUCGACGGCGGUGUUUGGCACCUCGAUGUCGGCUCAUCACAUCCUGGGGCUGAAGUAGGUCCCAAGGGUAUGGCUGUUCGCCAUUUAAAGUGGUACGCGAGCUGGGUUUAGAACGUCGUGAGACAGUUCGGUCCCUAUCUGCCGUGGGCGUUGGAUGAUUGAUUGGGGCUGCUCCUAGUACGAGAGGACCGGAGUGGACGCAUCACUGGUGUUCCAGUUGUCUCGCCAGAGGCAUUGCUGGGUAGCUAAAUGCGGAAGAGAUAAGUGCUGAAAGCAUCUAAGCACGAAACUUGCCAAGAGAUGAGUCAUCCCUGACUUUAAGUCAGUAAGGGUUGUUUAAGACUAAGACGUAGAUAGGUUGGGUGUGUAAGUGUAGUGAUACAUUGAGCUAACCAGUACUAAUUGCCCGAGAGGCUUAACCAU